CCAUUUUCUGCUGCUAAUAAUGCCAUUUUGCAGACUGGGUAAGUUAUAAAGAAAAGAGGUUUAUUUGGUCCAAGGUCAAGGGACUGUAUUUAGUGGUAACCUUGUGCUGGCAGAGUCUCAAGACAGCACAGAGAAUUACAUUGCAAGAUGCAGGUGUGCACAAUGAUCCAGCCAAACUGGCUGCUGUUAGCAGACCCACUCUUAAUCACGUGAAUGUAUCAACCUGUCCAUGAGAGCACAGCCCUGCCUGUACCACCUUUUAAUGUCUCUUGGAGAGUGAAUUUCAACACUGGUUUCAGAGGGCACAGACCAUAUUCAAACCAUAGCUCUUGCUUUCCUUCCAGGUCUCAUUCAAUCACAAAUUUGAAAAUAUCUCAUACACAGUUAGGACAAAGCUGGAGCCAUGUGGUGUGGUUCUCAAGACCCCUUUGUGCUGGGGACACGGAUCAAAAAUCUGGCUCUUAUCUUCAGGCAUGACCAUGUCCAAGACUCCAGCUGUGCCAAUUAAUGAGUAUCUCACCAGCAGCUGGUAUGUGAUUCCCCAAACUUCUCAGUAGUUGUUGGUCUUUUCUAGACAUAAGAGUAUUGGCUGCAAAGAAGCAUUCAGUCUUUGUUUUCCUCUCUGUUUAAUCUCUUCUCUUUUCACUUCUAUUAGCUGAAGAAGAGCUGGGUAAGAGCCUGUUUGUUGUCCAUAGACAGGGUAAUCCCUCCCCUGGAAAAAUUAUUUCUUGAUGGACUCACCCUUGAUACCUGUUCUGUGAUUUUAAAAAUCGGGGGUGUUUCUUGUUUUCUGCAUAAUGCUUGAAGGUCUGAUCUUCAAGAGCUCCCAUUCCAUCCUGCUCCCUGCUGUUUCUCCCCGUCAUUUAGCCAUCAUCACUCCCUUCUCAAAAUUGCUCUAAGAGCAAAAGAUUAGAGAAGCUGAGUGGUCCAAGCUGCUCAUGGUAGAACAAGGCUGAGCAGAGAGAUGUGUGAAGCAUUCUUGGAUUAUCAAGCUAAUCUUUUGCC
This 1005-nucleotide long non-coding RNA is filed under the name Fukomys damarensis (Damara mole-rat). RNAcentral describes it as "lncRNA (ENSFDAG00000031372.1)". Lineage: Eukaryota; Metazoa; Chordata; Mammalia; Rodentia; Bathyergidae. The record is from RNAcentral.